Molecule: long non-coding RNA, 649 nt
Organism: Apis dorsata (giant honeybee)
Lineage: Eukaryota; Metazoa; Arthropoda; Insecta; Hymenoptera; Apidae
Exons: 2
Source: RefSeq, a predicted model, not a curated record
UUUCGAUUUUUAUGAUUAAUUUGCAAAUUUUCACAUUUUCAUCAUACCACGCAUCUGGACAUUCAUUUGUUUAAACAAUCAUCGCAAAUGAUAUAUACAGUAAAAAUACAUAUUUCAUGUACGAUAUGAUUUGAACAUUUUUUUGCUCUAUGUAAAGAUGGUACAUUUAUUGUACGUAUCUCCAUUAUUGUUAAAAUCUCAAGCAUAGCAAUAAAUGCAAAAAUUAUCGAAUUUUUAAGUACAAAAUAAAAGGCGCAUUAAUGAAUGUGAAAACAUUCGUCGAUGAAUACAUUUAAAACAAAACAUAUGACUUUCAUUAGAAUUCAAUCAUGAUUUGACCAACUUAAUUGGAUUAUUAAUAAUACAAUCGCCAUAAUUACUUACGUCAUUUACAAGCUCUACUUUCAUAUUUCCAUAAGUCAAUGUUUAGGCAGUUUAGGCUUUUUUCUACAAAUAUCUAAGAAAAUAGGGCUAAACCUCUCUUUUUUUUUUAUUCUGUACUAUUAAAAAUUUUGUCAGGCAAUGUAAAUCCGCUUUUGUAUUUACAAUAUGUCAUUUAUAAUAUGAUAUUGUUCAUUACUUUCGUAAUUCUUGCUAAUUAAAAAUGCUUACGGCUUUGUACGAUAAAAUGUAGUCGAAUUGAUUUUUU